GGGGAUUUAGCUCAAUGGUAGAGCGCUUGCCUAGCAAGCAUAAGGCCCUGGGUUCGGUCCCCAGCUCCG
Molecule: transfer RNA, 69 nt
Filed under: Rattus norvegicus (Norway rat)
Lineage: Eukaryota; Metazoa; Chordata; Mammalia; Rodentia; Muridae
Rfam family: tRNA
About the family: Transfer RNA (tRNA) molecules are approximately 80 nucleotides in length. Their secondary structure includes four short double-helical elements and three loops (D, anti-codon, and T loops).
Source: Rfam by way of RNAcentral